This 72-nucleotide transfer RNA is filed under the name Glycomyces algeriensis. RNAcentral's name for it is "tRNA-Arg". Lineage: Bacteria; Bacillati; Actinomycetota; Actinomycetes; Glycomycetales; Glycomycetaceae. The record is from RNAcentral.
CGCCGUGCGUGGUGCACAGGAGGCACAGCCGCCCUUCGGAGGCGGCCUGCUGCUCGACGCCGCGCGCGAUGU